UACGGAGGGUGCAAGCGUUAUCCGGAUUUACUGGGUUUAAAGGGUGCGUAGGCGGGUUGGUAAGUCAGUGGUGAAAUCUUCAAGCUUAACUUGGAAACUGCCGUUGAUACUAUCAAUCUUGAAUAUUGUGGAGGUAAGCGGAAUAUGUCAUGUAGCGGUGAAAUGCUUAGAUAUGACAUAGAACACCGAUAGCGAAGGCAGCUUGCUACACAGUAAUUGACGCUGAGGCACGAAAGCGUGGGGAUCAAACAGG
This 253-nucleotide ribosomal RNA is filed under the name uncultured bacterium. Its description in RNAcentral is "partial 16S ribosomal RNA". It matches the Rfam family "Bacterial small subunit ribosomal RNA", at positions 524 to 776 of the family's 1533-position model. The record is from RNAcentral.